RNAcentral lists this ribosomal RNA (409 nucleotides) under uncultured bacterium. RNAcentral describes it as "bacterial SSU rRNA". It matches the Rfam family "Bacterial small subunit ribosomal RNA", at positions 355 to 776 of the family's 1533-position model. The record is from RNAcentral.
UGGGGAAUAUUGCACAAUGGGCGAAAGCCUGAUGCAGCAACGCCGCGUGAGGGACGACGGCCUUCGGGUUGUAAACCUCUUUUAGUAGGGAAGAAGCGAAAGUGACGGUACCUGCAGAAAAAGCACCGGCUAACUACGUGCCAGCAGCCGCGGUAAUACGUAGGGUGCAAGCGUUGUCCGGAAUUAUUGGGCGUAAAGAGCUCGUAGGCGGUUUGUCGCGUCUGCUGUGAAAACUGGGGGCUCAACCCCCAGCCUGCAGUGGGUACGGGCAGACUAGAGUGCGGUAGGGGAGAUUGGAAUUCCUGGUGUAGCGGUGGAAUGCGCAGAUAUCAGGAGGAACACCGAUGGCGAAGGCAGAUCUCUGGGCCGCUACUGACGCUGAGGAGCGAAAGCAUGGGGAGCGAACAGG